This 426-nucleotide RNase P RNA is filed under the name Holosporales bacterium. Its description in RNAcentral is "RNase P RNA component class A". It matches the Rfam family "Bacterial RNase P class A". From Rfam's summary of the family: Ribonuclease P (RNase P) is a ubiquitous endoribonuclease, found in archaea, bacteria and eukarya as well as chloroplasts and mitochondria. Its best characterised activity is the generation of mature 5'-ends of tRNAs by cleaving the 5'-leader elements of precursor-tRNAs. Lineage: Bacteria; Pseudomonadati; Pseudomonadota; Alphaproteobacteria; Holosporales. The record is from RNAcentral.
UGGAUCUGGUGAUUGAUCGCUAAGAGUUCUAAGUUAUUAGAGCUCUAAGAGGAAAGUCCGGGCUUCAUGCGGGCAGGGUGCCGGAUAACCUCCGGCGGCGGAGAUUGAAAAAUCUCUGGUAGGGAAAGUGCAACAGAAAACAUACCGCCUUGUUAAACGUAGAAAUACGAAAGAGGAGGUAAGGGUGAAAAGGCGACGGUAAGAGCGCACCGCACGCCCGGUAACGGGAGUGGCAUUGCAAACCCCACCUGAAGAAAGACCAAAUAGAGGUGAUGCGAAUAUGGAAUUGUCCGAAUUCGUGAGGGCCCGCGCUCACUGUCACCAGGGUAGGUCGCUCGAGUGUAUCGGUAACGGUACGCCUAGAUGAAUGAUCAAUCAGAAGAUUUGCUCUUCGGACAGAACCCGGCUUAUAGCCAGAUUCGCACU